AUUGAACGCUGGCGGCAGGCCUAACACAUGCAAGUCGACCGGAAGAAGGGAGCUUGCUCCUGGAUUCAGCGGCGGACGGGAGAGUAAUGCCUAGGAAUCUGCCUCGUAGUGGGGGAUAACGUCCGGAAACGGGCGCUAAUAACGCAUACGUCCUGAGGUAGAAAGUGGGGGAUCUUCGGACCUCACGCUCUCAGAUCAUCCUAGGUCGGAUUGGCUAGUUGGCGGGGUAAAGGCCUACCAAGGCGACGAUCCGUAACUGGCCGAAGAGGAUGAUCAGUCACACUGGAACGGAGACGCGGUCCGGACUCCUACGGACGGCAGCAGUGGGAAAUAUUGGACAGUGGGCGGAAGCCGGAUCCAGCCAUGCCGCGUGUAUGAUGAGGAUCUUGGGAUUGUAAAGCACUUUAAGUUGGGAGGAAGGGCAGUACGUUGAGACCUUGAUAUUUUGACGUUACCAACAGAAUAAGCAACGGCUAACUGCGUG
RNAcentral lists this ribosomal RNA (484 nucleotides) under uncultured bacterium. RNAcentral describes it as "partial 16S ribosomal RNA". It matches the Rfam family "Bacterial small subunit ribosomal RNA", at positions 30 to 507 of the family's 1533-position model. The record is from RNAcentral.